Molecule: transfer RNA, 74 nt
Organism: Pterocles gutturalis (yellow-throated sandgrouse)
Lineage: Eukaryota; Metazoa; Chordata; Aves; Pterocliformes; Pteroclidae
Rfam family: tRNA
About the family: Transfer RNA (tRNA) molecules are approximately 80 nucleotides in length.
Source: Rfam
UAGACAGAAGCCUGUUGGUUUUGGGCAUUUAGCUGUUAACUAGAAUUUUAUGGGAUCGAAGCCCAUCUGUCUAG